CUGGACAGGUCGGGAAUCCAUCACAGGAAAAAAAAAAAUCCUUUUUCAUAUUUUUUUAAUUAGAAGGGCAACAUCAUACGAAGAAAAAUAACUAUUUAUUUAUUUUUUAUUAAAUAGCAAAUUUUGCUAAAGUCGAUGCGUCAUAUUUUCGCAUGUCCACAUCUAUUAAAGCACGAGGCAAUCAGCUGCAUUUAGCCGGCGCGAGAUUUCAAGUACAAGCUAACCCUGAAGGUUAACCGCCAGACAGGUAUUAGCUGCUAGUUUUUUUUUGACAUACAGACACAUAAUGAGUACUUUGGAAGCACAGCUGUUUUCUGAAAUUGACAAGCUUCGUGUUCAGCUGAUGAACAACGUCGACUUUAAGGCAGAGAGCCAACGUUCUGUGGGGGAAAUCAGUCCGGAUGAAAUUUUAACUCGCAUUGAAGGUGUAAUCCUGGGAAUAGUUACCUGUCUGUCCAGAGAUGAAGUCCCUAUCCUGGUACUGCCCAACAGGUCCAGUCGGGCCAAUGUCAGUUUUGACAGUGCUGUCGGACUUCAGAUGAAUUCAGAGCGCUCUGUCACCUCCGUCAGGAGUGACUGUCCUUCAUCUGUUACUAAAUUUGCACAAAUUCUGAAGAUUCUCUCCGUCAUCUACAGACUAGUGCAGAGCAACUCCUAUGCGACGAAAAGAGACAUAUAUUACAACAACACACAGCUGUUUGGGUCACAGAGAACUGUGGAUAGCAUAAUAGAUGACAUGUCCUGCAUGUUGAAGGUUCCUCGCAGAUCACUACAUGUGUUGGCCACAUCCAAGGGCUUAAUCUCUGGUGAUCUGUGUUAUUUGGAGGAGGAUGGAACAAGGAUUGACUGCCACUCCAACUCAGCAGCUGUUUCAGUUUCCCCAAACAUCACUGGAAUUAGAAAUAUUGUUUCAUCAGCUAAAUUUAUAAUGAUAGUAGAAAAGGAUGCAACAUUCCAAAGGCUGCUGGAUGAUGACUUCUGCACAAAGCUCUCUCCUUGCAUCAUAAUCACAGGUAAAGGUGUGCCAGAUGUGAACAGCAGGCUGAUGGUGAGAAAACUGUGGGACACGCUGCACAUUCCCAUCUUCGCCCUGGUGGAUGCUGACCCUCAUGGCAUUGAGAUCAUGUGCAUCUACAAGUAUGGAUCAGUGGCAAUGUCAUUUGAGGCCCACAGUCUGACCGUCCCAAGCGUUAUGUGGCUUGGCCUUCUCCCCUCUGACCUGCAGAGGUUGAGGGUUCCUGAAGAUUCCCUGAUUCCUCUUACCAAGAGAGAUGAAAGCAAGCUCAGCAGUUUGCUAAAGAGACCUUACUUAACCAUCCAACCAGACUGGUGCAAAGAGAUGGAACUGAUGCAGCAGAGCAAAGUUAAGGCUGAAAUACAGUCCCUGUCAUCCAUAGCCCCUGACUUCCUCACCAAUAUCUAUCUGCCCAAUAAGCUUCGAUAUGGGGGCUGGGUGUGAGCACUAAGAGGGGGCGGAGUUUUAUCUAUGGGGCGGGGCUGUGACAGCAGGGCCGAGCUCCAUUUGUGGCUGUGGCCGGCAGAAGCAUGCCGCUCCUUGCCAGAAGACAGCCUGCCGGACGGAGCCAGGGGAUUCUUCAUUGGGAAGAACUGGUUCAGCCGAACCGGAAGAACCAGAUGCUGCCAAGAUCCCCUUGUGUGGAGGGUAACAGGUGUUCCGCAUUUCCAUCAACCUGGAGGAGUAUAAGAAGGUGGAGCUGUCAGCACUCCACUGCCUGAGUUUUAACCUCUGUGGAAUCCUCAAGUCCUGGUCUCAUGUUCUUGUGACCAUCAGCUCUGGCUCUUAAGUCCUCAGUUUUGGAUCCUGCCUCAGCCUAAGUACUCAAACCUCAGAAGAACCUAGUUUGGUUCAAUAUCCAGCUGACAGCUCAAUACCAACUCUGUCAGACAAGCUCACCCUGCUCACCCUCCACCAAUUGUUCACCAAAGACUCACCAGAAUACUCACCGUCGUCCUGGAUUAUUCACCAUUUCCGCAGCAGCGUCUAUUCAGUCUUCCCAGGCUCCACAUCAUUCUUCCACGCCAACAAAACAUGCUGUGCCUCCAGUCCCGGUUCCAGUUCAACAUCCAUUACCUGUCAAAUAAACUUAUUAAACUUUU
RNA transcript from Girardinichthys multiradiatus, 2118 nucleotides. It is a transcript of the gene named SPO11 initiator of meiotic double stranded breaks, with no coding region annotated. The record is from RefSeq and is a predicted model, not a curated record. Lineage: Eukaryota; Metazoa; Chordata; Actinopteri; Cyprinodontiformes; Goodeidae. The transcript is spliced from 18 exons.